GAAAUAUGAAACCCGAGAAUAAGCUUCUAACUUAAAUCUUAAGCAGUGAAAAUCUGUUUAUAUUUCU
Molecule: transfer RNA, 67 nt
Filed under: Cucujus mniszechi
Lineage: Eukaryota; Metazoa; Arthropoda; Insecta; Coleoptera; Cucujidae
Description: tRNA-Ser
Source: RNAcentral